Long non-coding RNA from Sphaeramia orbicularis (orbiculate cardinalfish), 179 nucleotides. RefSeq lists it as uncharacterized. NCBI's taxonomy places the organism in Eukaryota, Metazoa, Chordata, Actinopteri, Kurtiformes, Apogonidae. The record is from RefSeq and is a predicted model, not a curated record. The transcript has 3 exons.
UUGGAAUACAAUAGCCUUACAAUCACGUUGUGUUGCCCAUGACAGUUGACAGGAAGCACAGUACCACGCUGCAUGAUGGGAAAUGAAGUUACAAACAGGGACGACACAUUUACAAACUUCAGUCCCUAGAAAUCGGUAUUAAUAUGACUCAUGAUUCCCCACGGUUCCAGUAACAUUAG